Molecule: transfer RNA, 72 nt
Filed under: Ictidomys tridecemlineatus (thirteen-lined ground squirrel)
Lineage: Eukaryota; Metazoa; Chordata; Mammalia; Rodentia; Sciuridae
Description: Spermophilus tridecemlineatus (thirteen-lined ground squirrel) tRNA
Rfam family: tRNA
About the family: Transfer RNA (tRNA) molecules are approximately 80 nucleotides in length.
Source: Rfam by way of RNAcentral
UGGAAUGUAGCUCAGUAGUAGAGUGCUUGCCUGGCAUACAAGAAGCCCUGGGUUUAAUCCCCAGUGGGCCGC